RNAcentral lists this ribosomal RNA (253 nucleotides) under uncultured bacterium. RNAcentral describes it as "partial 16S ribosomal RNA". It matches the Rfam family "Bacterial small subunit ribosomal RNA", at positions 524 to 776 of the family's 1533-position model. The record is from RNAcentral.
UACAGAGGUGGCAAGCGUUGUUCGGAAUUACUGGGCGUAAAGGGCGCGUAGGCGGCCUUCUAAGUCAGACGUGAAAUCCCCCGGCUUAACCUGGGAACUGCGUCUGAUACUGGGAGGCUCGAGUAUGGGAGAGGGAUGUAGAAUUCCAGGUGUAGCGGUGAAAUGCGUAGAUAUCGGAAGGAACGCCGGUGGCGAAAGCGAGCUGCUGGAUCCCUCCUGACGCUGAGGCGCGAAAGCCAGGGGAGCGAACGGG